This 492-nucleotide ribosomal RNA is filed under the name uncultured bacterium. RNAcentral describes it as "partial 16S ribosomal RNA". It matches the Rfam family "Bacterial small subunit ribosomal RNA", at positions 29 to 507 of the family's 1533-position model. The record is from RNAcentral.
AUUGAACGCUGGCGGCAUGCUUUACACAUGCAAGUCGAACGGUAACAGGCCUUCGGGUGCUGACGAGUGGCGAACGGGUGAGUAAUGCAUCGGAACGUACCCAGAGGUGGGGGAUAACGCAGCGAAAGCUGUGCUAAUACCGCAUGUGAUCUGAGGAUGAAAGCGGGGGACCGAGCAGCAAUGUUUGGCCUCGCGCCUUUGGAGCGGCCGAUGUCGGAUUAGCUAGUUGGGGGGGUAAAGGCCUACCAAGGCGACGAUCCGUAGCUGGUCUGAGAGGACGACCAGCCACACUGGGACUGAGGCACGGCCCAGACUCCUACGGGAGGCAGCAGUGGGGAAUUUUGGACAAUGGGCGCAAGCCUGAUCCAGCAAUGCCGCGUGCGGGAAGAAGGCCUUCGGGUUGUAAACCGCUUUUGGCAGGAACGAAACGGUGUCCGCUAAUACCGGGCGCUAAUGACGGUACCUGCAGAAUAAGCACCGGCUAACUACGUG